This 22-nucleotide small nuclear RNA is filed under the name Arabidopsis thaliana (thale cress). RNAcentral describes it as "snRNA_02930". Lineage: Eukaryota; Viridiplantae; Streptophyta; Magnoliopsida; Brassicales; Brassicaceae. The record is from RNAcentral.
CGGUUCGUGAAUCAAUGAGUGU